This 459-nucleotide ribosomal RNA is filed under the name uncultured bacterium. RNAcentral's name for it is "partial 16S ribosomal RNA". It matches the Rfam family "Bacterial small subunit ribosomal RNA", at positions 338 to 795 of the family's 1533-position model. The record is from RNAcentral.
CCUACGGUGUGCUGCAGUGAGGAAUAUUGGUCAAUGGUCGGGAGACUGAACCAGCCAAGCCGCGUGAGGGAUGAAGGUACAGAGUAUCGUAAACCUCUUUUGUCAGGGAACAAAGGCGGGGACGCGUCCCCGGAUGAGUGUACCUGAAGAAAAAGCAUCGGCUAACUCCGUGACAGCAGCCGCGGUAAUACGGAGGAUGCGAGCGUUAUGCGGAUUUAUUGGGUUUAAAGGGUGCGCAGGCGGUCUGUUAAGUCAGCGGUCAAAGCCCGGGGCUCAACCCCGGCCCGCAGUUGAAUCUGGCAGUCGCGAGUUGGAGAGAAGGAUGCGGAAUGCGCGGUGUAGCGGUGAAGUGCAUAGAUAUCGCGCAGAACUCCGAUUGCGAAGGCAGCAUGCCGGCUCCACACUGACGCUGAGGCACGAAAGCGUGGGUAUCGAACAGGAUUAGAUACCCGGGUAGUC